This 307-nucleotide unclassified non-coding RNA is filed under the name uncultured fungus. Its description in RNAcentral is "partial contains small subunit ribosomal RNA, internal transcribed spacer 1, and 5.8S ribosomal RNA". The stretch from base 1 to 73 matches the Rfam family "Eukaryotic small subunit ribosomal RNA", at positions 1759 to 1831 of the family's 1831-position model. The record is from RNAcentral. Lineage: Eukaryota; Fungi.
GCAAACUUGGUCAUUUAGAGGAAGUAAAAGUCGUAACAAGGUUUCCGUAGGUGAACCUGCGGAAGGAUCAUUAGAGAGACAUCAGAGGAAUAGUCAAAAGACUUUCCUCGACUCUCCAACCCUAUGUUUACCAACCUUUGUUGCCUCGGCGCAGUCUUAAAAAGUAGAAAUACUUACUGCGCCAGAGGAUUUUUUAAAAACACUUUUCAAAAUUCUAUUCUGAAAUUUUGCUACAAAGCAAUUCAAAAAAAUUCUAAAAACUUUCAACAACGGAUCUCUUGGUUCUGGCAUCGAUGAAGAACGCAGC